AACAAUCUACACUUGAGUUGAUGC
RNAcentral lists this non-coding RNA (24 nucleotides) under Arabidopsis thaliana (thale cress). The record is from RNAcentral. Lineage: Eukaryota; Viridiplantae; Streptophyta; Magnoliopsida; Brassicales; Brassicaceae.